Molecule: RNase P RNA, 324 nt
Filed under: Candidatus Dormiibacterota bacterium
Lineage: Bacteria; Bacillati; Candidatus Dormiibacterota
Description: partial RNase P RNA component class A
Rfam family: Bacterial RNase P class A
About the family: Ribonuclease P (RNase P) is a ubiquitous endoribonuclease, found in archaea, bacteria and eukarya as well as chloroplasts and mitochondria.
Source: RNAcentral
CGCUCCAUCUCCUAUCCAGGAGGUGGGGAGGAAAGUCCGGGCUCCAUAGGGCAGGACGCUGGGUAACGCCCAGUCGGGGUGACCCGAAGGAAAGUGCCACAGAAAUGACACCGCCGGCCGCGAGGCCGGUAAGGGUGAAAUGGUGGGGUAAGAGCCCACCGGCNNNNNNNNNNGGAGCAAGACCAAAUAGGAGGGCGCUCUUAAGGUGGCCCGCCAAGCCCUCGGGUUGCGGUCGCUGGAGGCGCCGGGUAACCGGCGUCCGAGAUAGAUGGCCACCGCCCCCUCCAAGGGGCACAGAACCCGGCUUACAGACCGCCCUCGACC